UACGAAGGGGGCUAGCGUUGUUCGGAAUUACUGGGCGUAAAGCGCACGUAGGCGGAUAUUUAAGUCAGGGGUGAAAUCCCGGGGCUCAACCCCGGAACUGCCUUUGAUACUGGGUAUCUCGAGUGUGGUAGAGGUGAGUGGAAUUGCGAGUGUAGAGGUGAAAUUCGUAGAUAUUCGCAGGAACACCAGUGGCGAAGGCGGCUCACUGGACCACAACUGACGCUGAGGUGCGAAAGCGUGGGGAGCAAACAGG
This 253-nucleotide ribosomal RNA is filed under the name uncultured bacterium. RNAcentral describes it as "partial 16S ribosomal RNA". It matches the Rfam family "Bacterial small subunit ribosomal RNA", at positions 524 to 776 of the family's 1533-position model. The record is from RNAcentral.